GGCCCAAUGGUCUAGUAGUAUGAUACGUGCUUCGGGCGUCAGCCAGCUUGCGUCUGCGAGUCAGUUGCACGGGGUCCCGGGUUCAAUUCCCGGUUGGGCCC
Molecule: non-coding RNA, 101 nt
Organism: Schizophyllum commune H4-8
Lineage: Eukaryota; Fungi; Basidiomycota; Agaricomycetes; Agaricales; Schizophyllaceae
Source: the annotation of a RefSeq genome assembly